CCCGAGGGCCCGGCCCUAGUUAUCCUCAGGCCGCCCCCCGCCACUAGCCCGGCCAGGAGCGAGCACGAGGUGGUGCAGCAACAGGGAAGGUGGAGCGGGUGUUUUCUUCCUCUGGUUUUCAUUUUUUUUCCUUCCUUGGUGAGACAUCGGAGGAAAUGCUGACUGUGAGCUUUUCUUUCCUGCCAUGUCUCCGGCUACCACCACCACAAGGAACUUUGCUUCUGGCUAACCUUCGUCCUGGGGGGUGCUCCGGGAAACUUUGAGGAGCCCUCGGACCUCUCUGGCUUUUUUGCACGGAGGUGGGGGGGGGGGUGGGCUCGGGAGGGAGCGUGCGGAAGCGCUCGGGCGCGAGGCACGGGUCCUAGGCUUGACCUUCCCAGAGACCCCGCGAUCGAGGUGGGGCUCAGAGGCGGGCGCCGGGGCUAUAUGAGCUGCCCCGAGAAUGCCUCCCGCCAGAGACCUGCGGGUCCCUGGAGUCUUGUCUCUUUCUCACCUCCCGUGCUGUAAUGGAGUAAAAAUAUUCUGGAAAUGAUUCCAUACCAGCGAGUCAGCCAAGUCCAGAGGCUCCCUUUUGCUUUUAGAAGUCGGCCUUAAUCUCAGAGGGGAUGGCCGCUGGCUAAGAAGCUCCCAGGGUUUCAGGGUCCACCCUGCGCGCGCACUGCCUCUCCGAGUGCCUUGGGGGAGCGGGGCGGGAAUCGUGGACUCGUGGGCAGAGGCGGCUGGGGUGGGGCGCUGUUUGGGGGGUUAAGAUGGGAGUUGAGGCCCAAGCGAGUGUCUAUGCCUCGUUUUGAUCCAGCGGGCACAUAUCAUGUGAAUAUUUUGAAACCUGUGUUAGGAAUAGGGGUCAAAGUGCUUCUUUGGGGACCGUCUUGUUCAGGGAGGUUCUCCUGCCUCCUCACAGCCUGAACUCGCUGGGACCUGGGACCUCUCCCUCCCCAUUUCCCAGAGGGCGUUCCCAUCUCCGAGAGCGGCGCUGCCUGUGGCCAUUUCUAGUUUCUUUUUUGCUCCUCUAUACCCAGGCUCGAGCCCUGCAAUAAAGCGCUGGGGACCUCCUGGCCCCCACAUCCGCGCCCCCAAACCCCGGUUCCCAGGCUCCGUUUCCGAGAGCGCCGUGGCGCCCCCACACCGCUGAAACCGGCAGCCGCCUUUGGAAGGUGCGAACCCGGAAGGCGUUAGCCUUAGGCCUAGCCUUCGACCUCUCUGAGGUGCCACAGGAGGGCCGGUCCCUGGCCGCGUGGCUGGACCCCAGCCUCCUUCCGCCGCGCUGCACCUCCGCGGCCCCUCCUCGCGCAGCUCCGCCCUGGACCUCCGCCCUGUGGCGGGCGAGGGUCAGGGAGGAGGUGAGGUACAUCUCAGCCCUUGGCGCCUAUGGAGGCUUGCGCUCUUUUUGAGGGGUACUCCUUCCUGUAUUCUAAGAAGAGCCCCUCAGUGUUUGCUGGGGAUCCCCCAAGAGACUUCUCAGCAAAGUCCGCCCCUCAGUUCUCUGGUGACACCUCCAACAACCAGAGGACCUGAGGUUGGCGCCCCUAGGAUGGAGACUCCGCUGGGGCCUGCCAUUUGGUGGUGCCAUGCCCCCUGAGAGAGAGCAGGGAGUGAGGGGUGAAGGGGCUCACUCGAGCACCCUGGGGACGAGGAGGGUGGCUCCAGCGUGCUGGGCCACAGGGACACCCCUCUUCUCCGCCAGAGCGCUCCUGUGGGCAUACAGUAGGCACUCUGUAAAUGCUGGCUGUUGACUCAGAGCUGGCAGGUAGAGCUCCAAGUCCCCUAUCACCUCUGUUUACCCGUUCCAGAGAAGGGCGUGGCUGACACCCCCCCCCCCCCCCCCCCCCCCCGUCCCCAUCACCGAAGGGGUGGAGCCUUCUCUGGGAGGGGCAGGACCUGAGCUGUCAGUCCAUCUCUGGACACUCCCCCUGCAGCUAUUCCGUCAAACACGCCGUUUCCAGGCUGCCGGAGAGGGGACCCCUCCAGGAAUGAGCCUCACUGCGCUGGGAGGAAGAGGUGCCUGGGAGGUGGUGGAGGGGUCUCGCCUAAAGCUACCUUGCAGUGGAUUGUGUUUAGACAGAUGCCUUCACCUAGCUCUCCCCACGCCAGGGGCUUACCCCACCAGCCUUCCUGCCCCAGGGCCAUGGUGUCCCCAUCCCCGGGUCUCCUCGAGGCAUGACUAGGUAGCAGUGAGUUGCCAUGCAACAGCAAAAUAAUGACGGCAGUGAUCACAGUAGUCACAGCAGCAGCACCUGCAGCUCUGCAGCGCAGGGCCGGUUCUGCCUGCGGGCAGUUUUCUCUGCCUGGCCAGGCCUCCAGUACCCUGGGCCACAGUUGGCAGUACCAAGCAUAGCACCCGGAGGCCUUGGCACACGGCUGGGGCGGAAGUGACUGCAUCAUCACUGUCAUCAACUUCUGUGGCCCUCGCCAGGUCCCCAGGCAGAAGGCUACUGGUACACACGGUGCCCACCUGGUAGCCACCCUCAGCCCCUGGUCCCAGACCCAGCUCUGGGCUGUGCCCUUCUUCCAACAGGUGCAGCUGGUGCCUGUGGCUGGGCCCUGGCCAGGACAUUACUGUGAGAGACCCGUGGGCACACCUGCCCCUCCCUGGGCCUACCCUUGGAGCCCUGCCUCGGGCUGGCAUGGAGGAGAGUCAGGGAGGGGGCAGCUUGCUGGCGGCAGGAGGAGUGGAGGCUUGGCCGGCCAUAUGGGAGGUGCGGUGGGCAAGGGCUCAGCCCCACGGGAUGGCUGUGCCGGGAACUGGCAGCGAGCUAGGGACAGGGCAUCAGGGAGAGGCUGAAGAUGAAAGAUUGCUGGCCUGAAACUGGGCCGUGUGCAGGUUGGCCAGAGCUUCAGAGGCACCACGGGGGUGGGGGCGGGGAGGCUGGGCAGAGGCAGGUGGGUUUUCCGAGGUGCUGGGCUCAGGGCGGGACCAGAGCCCGUACUGGGCACUGGCCAAGGACCCAUCCCUCAGCCAGCUGACUUAAUUUCCUAAUGGCCUGCUAGUGUAGAGGUGGCAUUAGCUCCAUUGUGCAGAUAGGGAUUGGAGGCCCAGGGAGGCACUGGAGGCAGCAACCUGCGGGCCUCAGACCCGGAGCCCUGAUGCUUUCCCAGGGGCAGAACUGCACCUUCCCUCAUUCCACAGACACGCCGCUCAGGGGCGCUUGACUGCCAGGCUGGCUUUCUCCCUGCCUUACCACCAGGCAGGUCCCAUGCAGGACCUGGGGCCUGCAUGCCAUCCCAGCUCCUGGGAAUUCUAUCCCUAGGACCUAGUGAAGCCCUGGCAUACAGUAGGUGCUCAGUAAAUGCUCCGUGAUUCCAUGUCUGGACUGUUUCUUCCAGCCACAGAGGCCUCGCUGUGCUGGAGCUCCUCUUUUUGGACCUGCUCUACCACAGCUGUGUCCCCAGCGCCUAAGCAGUAGGUGAUGGACGUCAGGAUGCCUCCACCUCUGGCGACAGUGAGCAGCCUUGUGUGAACAUGGCUGUGGUGGUGCUGUGUGGACGCCUGUCUUCAUUUCUCCCGGGUGUACACACCUGAGCAUGUGAUCGCUGGACCACGUGGUGACACAAAUGUGCCAGCUCAUAUGGAAAAUAGGAUGGUAGGGAAACGAAGUUGGAUGUGGGGCUGAGGUGACCGCCCAGGCCGGACAUGCUCUUCCCACACCAGCUUUAGGACAUGCUCCUCUCACAGAGGGGCGACUUGGAGCCCGAGUUUGAUGUCAGGAAGGGCUUGCUGGGAAGCCCCAGAGUUUGGAGUGGGGUAGGUGCUCAGCCACCCAAGGAGCCAGAGAGCCCCACUUUGAGAAGCCUGCGGGCCCCAGAAGCAGAUGGCUACAUGGGCUCCUGCCACUCUGAAGGUUUGUCUCAUCCCCCUGCGGAGGCCAAACCAGGAAAGGGACACUGGGCAGCGGAGCUGGUGGACUCGUCCUUGGCGAGGAUGAGCCAGGCCCAGCAACUCAGUAGCCCGGAUGUCACAAGCAGUCACAAUAAAUUAGCUCUUGCUCACCCCACCGCCUCUCCUCUCCCCUCCCUGGCAGGGCCGUGCUGUGAGCCUCAGGUGAAUUUCCUCCCCCUCUUCGAGGACACCCAGGCUUCUGGGCUUCAAGGUAGCUCACCCUGCCGGAAAUCCAGGAGGAUUGCCACCAUUUCCCAGAGGCUGCUCUGUGGGCACGAAGAUCUGGGGCCCGUCCUCUGACACUUUAAGGGCUUCCACAUGCCCUUCUGUGAAAUCGGAACAAGAAUCCUCGCCCCACCACCUGCCUAGGGGCUGCACAGGGUUAAAUGAAAGCCCAGUUCCCUGAAACUGCAGGAGCCUGUCACAGCGUUGCACCUUGCUUUGCCUCAGUUUACCCAAAUACUCAGCAGGAUUGGACCCGUGGCUUCUCUGCCCUUCUGGCCUGUCACCCUGAGCCAGGAGGAGUGCACCCCACCCAGGUGGGGAGAAGGCCUGUAUGACAGGGGAGGUGAGGCCCAACCCAAGCCCAAAAUAGCACGGGAUGGCAGGAUGAUGGAGGCAGUGCCAGGCGGCAGGGUGGGUAAUUGAUUGCCUUGUGCCAGCCAUGAAUAAAACAUCGGCCUCUGCUCCAUCCGGGUUCAUUCUUUGCUGGGGGGACAGGCCUCGUUUAUUGGGGUUGCCUUUGCUUGCUUCCUCCUCCUCGGGACAAAGAAGACCCUGCCCUUGCCCCUCCCUCCUCCCUCUCCUGCUUGGCUCCCCAGUGCCCAGAGGACAAACUGAGGCUCUGGGCAAGAUGACCUGUCCGUGUCCUGUCCCAUCCAGUCAGCAGCCCUGACUUUCAUAACGCCCUGCCUUUGCCUAUGCUAUUCCAGUGCCUGGAACCCUCUCUCUCUUUCUUCCCUGAGGAAAUCCUGCACUCACCCCACAGCCCAGUGAAGAAGCUCUUUCAGGAGGCUUUGCCUGUCCUCAACACCACCCUGAGGGACACAGGGCCCCACCCACGCUGAGCGUGGUUAGUGCUGUCCCACCCCUGCAACAGCUGACCGCUGUCCUGGGGGCCCUGCUCUCCACUCCCCAUAACCACACUGCUCACUCUCAAAAGUGCAAACCCCAUUCAAUCUAUGUGGAGGUGCCAUUUUUCACCCAUCAGGUUGUCAAAGAUCGCAGAGUGGCAUGGGCAGUAACCCCAGACCCACUGAUGACUUUGGCUCACAGAUAGCCAGGUCCCUGAGCAAGGGUGCUGACUGCAGCCUGUCUGCACAACUGGGAUGCCACCAUGGUGCAUAGUGUGGGGACAUCCACGCUGUCAAAGGGGACAGAGCCAGGAAAAGGGAGGCAGCAGCUCCACUGUCCCCAUGAGACACUUCACCAGUGCAUCAGGUUUGCAAAACCCUGGGUGCAGAGCAGUGCCCACACAGGCUAGCUUUUCUGUCCAAAAUAACCACAAAAAAGGACCCAGCGACAGAGGCUCGCACACGUAAUCCCAGCACUACAAGAGGCCAAGGGAGGAUGAUAAUUGAGCCCAGGAGUUCUAGACCAGCAUGGGUAAUAGAGGAAGAUCCCAUCUCUACAAAAAAAAUUUUUUUUAACUAGCUGUGAGUGGUUGCUCAUGCCUGUAGUCCUACCAACUUAGGAGGCUGAGUCGGGAGGAUCCCUUGAGCCCAGGAGUUUGAGGCUGCAGUGAGCUGAGAUGGCACCACAGCACUCCAACCUGGGCAACAAAGUGAGACUCUGUCUCAAGAAAACCAAAACUGAAAAACAGCCAAACAAAAAAGAACCGCAAAAGAGAUAUCAGCAAUGCUGUGUGUACAGGAGCCUCCAGAGGACACACAGCCAUCGAGCACUGACCUCUGGAGAGAACUGAGAGGCUGGGGGCGCGGCGGGGAGGGACGUCCACUUCAUGCCUGGAUGGCCAUGAGCAUGGGGCCAUGCAUAGUGCCCAUGGAAAUGAAAAUAAAACCUGCCAGCCUGCUGGCCGGGGACUUGCAGUAAAGCACAGACACCAUGGACGUGAUUGUUGCUGGUGGAGGUUGAAGCCUCUGGAUGCCUCGGUGGUGCUGCUCUGGUAGCUGAGUGGAGAUGCCGGCAGCAUCCGCAUGUAGCACAUGCCCGGGGGCCUGUAGCCUGGACAGUCGUCCACCUGGAGGCACUGAUGUCAUGGAAAGGCAUCCGGGAGGGCUCUGUCCCCUUCGACACUGUGGAUGUACCCAUGCGUUAUGCACCCUGCCCCAUGGUGGCGUCCCAGUUGUACAGAUGGGCUGCAGUCAGUACCCUUGCUCAGGGACCUAGCGAUCUGUGAGCCGGAAGGAAGCCAUCGGGGGAGGUGGAGGAGAACCCUGAGGCGUGUUUCACCACGUGACAGAUGUCCCUGAAUCUGCCCGGGUGCUGGCGGAGGCUCUGGCCUCUUCUUGCUGCCUCUGUGUUUUUGAAAAUGCAUGGCUGAUGGAGUGAAGGGACUCACCCUCAGGACUGCCACCCCACCAGGCUGGGCACCCAGCAUUACCCCGUUCCAGCCCCGGGCUGCAUGUGUGUGUGUCUGGGCGUUCUGUGUUAGCACGUCUGUGUGUGUCCUGUAUCUAUGCAGGUAUAGGUAUGCAUGUCUCUAUUAUCUGUAUUUGUGUAUCCAUGAAUGUGUGUGUGUGUCUGUGCAGAUGUGCCUAUGUGUGUGUGCAUGUGUCUGUGUGAUUGUGUCCCCGUGUCUGUAUGUGAUCAUGUGUGUCAUGUAUGCACACAUGUCCGUGUCUGUGUACCUAUGUGUGACUGUAUGUGACCCUGUGCAUCUGUGCUGUGCACGCCCUGGUGUCUGUGUGCACGUUUGUGUAUCUGUGCAUGGCUGUGUCUGUGCCCCUGUGCACCCUGGUGUAGCUGGGUCCAUGUCUAGCUGUGUAAGAGGCCCCAGCAGGGGAGGCUGGGCUCUCCCACAGGCCCUGAUGAAAGUCAAGUCCGUAAGCAAACCUGAGCUCCAAACCCCUGGUCCUAGGAACAGACUGGACUCGGGAGUAAGUCACGCCGGAGUGACUGUGAGGUCCCCGAGCCUGUGGGAACAAGAAUGAAGAGGAGUCCUGGGUUUGGGGUCCAGGCCCCCGCUAGCCAGUACUGAGAGGGAAAGAGAGUGAUCACGGCAGCCCUGUUGACUGGGCUGAUCCCCUGGCCCAGAGACUGCAGGCGGGGGGUCUUCCUCUUGGCCUCCAGGGCUGCUACGUGAUGCUCAGGGCUAGGGGUAGGGACAGACCCUUCAUGACACGCUGGAGCUGCCUGACUGGCCCUGGCUGUGCCUGCUACAGAAGUGUUAUCUAGCGACAGCAUGAGAUGUGACAUCACUGAGGCCUCCUCAAAGCUGAGUCUGUUACCGUGGAAGAAGCCCAUCAGUCUUCCUCCUCAGGAAGCUCACGAUUCCGGCAAGGAAAGAGGCCCAUAGCCAGACCACUGCGACCUGCGCAGUCAGGACACGGCCAGGAAGCCCUCAGGUCUCUCCAACAGCGAGAACUGCAUCUAGGGAACUGGUCACGCCGUGAUAAAGGCUCUGAGACCUAAACGGGAUGGGGAGGAAUCCCAGACUGGAGUCAGCAUGAAGCCGCCAUCCCAGUCUGGAGGCAGGGAGGAAAGCAGUGGGGUCGCCAGUCCCAGGGGCUGUCAUCAUGCGAAGGGAGAGCUGGAGCCUCGCCAGGGGUGUCUGGAGCCAACGUGGGGAUGUGGCUGCUGCCAAGGAAGCCAUCCAAGGAGAGACGUGCCCCCUUCCCCCACCACCACCAAAUGCAGGAGCCUGAGAGCAAAGGAUGCUGGGAAGUGACCUGAGGGGUCAGAGCAGGGGGCCCACCUGGCAGGCUCAGACGGGGGAGCACAGCUAGGCCUGCCCAAGCCCUGGCCCACCGCGCAUCCUAGCAGGGGCCUGGUCUACAUCAGGUGCUCAAAAGCAGACGUCACAGAGUCUGGAUGCAGGGCGGGAGAUCAGCCAGGGGGCUGGGGCCCCAGGUGGGAAGAAGGAAGGGAUGGACACUGGGUGCAUCCGAGCUGAGACCUCAGGGGCCCUGAAUGCCACCUUGGGUUUGGCUGAAACCUGAGGGCUGGCAUGUCCCGAAACAUUCUCUGUCUUACCAUCAAGGCCCCUGACUGCUCUUGUUUCUGUCCUGAGCUAGGCAGCCCAGUGUUCAUUUCUCUCAUUCUCCAGACAAGAAAACAGGCACAGAGGUGUGGAGGACCUUGACCAAGUGAAAAAGUGACCUGCCCGAGACUUUAAUGAGGGGCAGCCCAGCCCAGCAAGGCCCAUCCACCCCCGACUUUCCGGAGGUGGAAAGAUUGCUGCAAACUGCCAGCGAUGGGUGAUUACCAGGAGCACCUUGUCAAGACCGUUCGGUGACCUUUCAGUCCUGCCUUGUUGGGUGGCAGCCUGGCUUCAAUCACCAAUGUUUUUCUCCAGGCUGAAGAUAAAGAAGCAGAAACCUGGCCCAGUGCAGUGGCUCACACCUGUAAUCCCAGCACUUUGGGAGGCCAAGGCGGGCAGAUCAUGAGGUCAGGAGAUCGAGACCAUCCCAGUCAACAUGGUGAAACCCUGUCUCUACUAAAAAUACAAAAAUCAGCCAGGCGUGGUGGCGCACACCUGUAGUCCCAGCUACUCAGAAGGCUGAGGCGGGAGAAUGGCUUGAACCUGGGAGGCAGAGGUUGCCGUGAGCUGAGAUCACACCAUUGCACUCCAGCCUGGGCAACAAGAAUGAAAUUCCGUCUCAAAAAAAAAAAAAAAGAAGCAGAAACCUGUGAUGACACAGGUGCCAUCUGUGCACUGUCCACAUCCUCCUGCCAGGGCCACGUGCCCAGGUCCUCGCAGGACUCAAGCAAGAGGGUGGAGGAGGAGAGGCAAGUGGGGAGGAAUUGCAGGCUGAAGGGGUGGACGCUCCUGACUCUAGGUCUCACUUCCUUAAGAAGGGCUGGAAAUUGGGACAUUUUAUGGAAACAAAUUUCAGAUUUGAAAAUGCUGGCCCCUAGUUGGCAGGUUUAAAGUAGAUAGAACAAAUCCAUGGAAGCCAAGCUGAGUGUCUGCAGUAGGGGCCAAGCCUGUGAGCUCUGCUGGCUCUGAAGCAACUUUUUCAAGUGCUAAGCGCACGCUGACCAUAGGACCUUUGCACUGCUGCUCCCUGCCCGGAAAGCUCUUCCUGCUGGCGUCUCGUGGCUCACUCCCACACUGUCUUCAGGCAUCUGCUCAAAUGCUGUCUCCUCCAAGAGGCCUUCCCUGACCUUUUCCUUCCCAUUUUGUGGGUUGAUUUUUCUUCCCAGUGCUCACUUCCACCUGACAUCUCAGUGUCAUCCAGCUCCUGAUGAGACCAUCAUCUCCGUCGUGAGGGCAGGGUUCCCGGCUUAGGCCUCCCUGGAUGCACGGGGCCUGCCCAGCUCAGAGCACUCAGUCAGCAUUUAAUGAAUCUGUGGUUUAGCACUUCAGGACCCCUGGGGCAUGGACACAGGGACACAGGGCGCCCAGGACCACACGUGUCACAGACAUGAUGUCUGAAAGAGGGGCCAGCUGAGUGAGUUUCCACCCCUUCCCACCCCACAGACUUGCUGAGAACUUUGGGAAGGCCCAACCCCACUGGAGGCCUCAAUUUCCCCACCUGUGCAAUGAAGGGGUGAUAUGUGCCACAGUCUUGGGGGCACAUGUGGGGUCCCAAGGCAGCCAUCAUUGCCAGCUGCCUCAGCCAAGCAGAGGGACAGAUGGAUUGACCAGCUCCGUAUUGAUCACAUGGUCACACCUGCUCUGGAGGGGGCAGGAGGGGUGGGAAGUGGAGUGGAGCCAGGGCCUCUGGAGGAAUGAAGAGAAAAUGACACCCCCCAUCAAUGCCUGGGGCUGGCAGGCGGGAGGGGCAUGAUAGUCCAUCUGCGGGUUUCUUUCCCUGUCUCCUAGGGGUUCAGAGAGGCUCAGGUGAGCUUCAGGGGAGCCAGGCAGGGGCAAGUUCUGAACACGGCAAAGAGCCCACCCCAGCACACCCUGAGGAGGCCAUCCCAGGGCUUCCGUGUCUGUAAGUCUGGAGCAGCUGAGGCUGGGGGCUAAGGCAGAGGAGCUUGGGGUGGGAAGUGGGGAAAGUCCCUGUCCACCCAAGCCACGUUACUUAGAUGCCACUCACCGAGGCUGGAAGUGUAUGCCAGGCUGGUAUUCUGCUGCAGAGCUCACUUGAGACUUGUUUUCACACAAAAGCCCCAACGUCCUGCCCUGGAUCUGCCAGGAAAGCCAGUGCCCAGGAGAUGAGAUGCUGAGAAUGUGGCCAGCUCUCUCCAGGAGCGAUAGCCCCGUGUGGGACAUGCAGCAACAUCACAAAGACCUAGGACCUAGGGGUCUUGGGAUGGGAGCAGGGCUGAGGCUAAAUCCCAGUUCCACUCCAACUUAUGGGGCAAAACUCUUUUCCUCUGAGGACCUCAAUUUCCCCAUCUGGAACCUGUCCCUCAGAGUCCUGGAGCUCCUGGGUUUUAGGGAGGAAGGGGCAGAAAACAACCUUGGAGUGGACUGAUAGGCAGGUCGGGGGCCCAGAGGGAAGAUGCAGACAGGACGAGACCAUGAGGACUGUUGUCAAGGCCUUGGCCGGCAGGAAGACAAGCCCUUAAACACAGGGACUGCAACUCAGCCAUUACGCUGCUGGGUCCCUGCCCCACAGCAUCGGAACAGGUGCUCAGACAAAGCUUGUACAUGAAUGCGGAUAACAACGCUGUUCACAGCAGCCAAGAGGUGGAGACAGCCCUGAGCCCGUCCACAGAUGAAUGAACACGCAAGUGUGUCUGCACAAUGAACCCGCUCAUCCAUGACAUGAAGAGCGUGGCGUUCCGGCACUGGUACAGCAUGCAAAGACCUGGAGGACACAGAAGGACAGAUGCUUAGGGUUCCAUUCACAUGAAAUGCCCAGAAGUGGCAAACCCAUACAGACUGAAAGCAGAUCAGAGGCUCCUGCGGGCUCAGGGGAGGGUGCGUGGGGAGUGACCGCUCCGUGUUUUCACGGGGUCUUCUUCUGGAGCAAUGGGAAUGUUCUGGAACUAGAGUGGCGAUGAUUGCACAACAUCGUGAGUGGAAUGCCACUUAAUCUGUAUGCUUUAAGGAGGACAAUUUGCCGGGCGCGGUGGCUCAAGCCUGUAAUCCCAGCAGUUGGGAGGCUGAGGUGGGUGGAUCACGAGGUCAAGAGAUCAAGAGAUUGAGACUGUCCUGGUCAACAUGGUGAAACCCUGUCUCUACUAAAACUACAAAAAAUUAGCUGGGCAUGGUGGCGCUUGCCUGUAAUCCCAGCUACUCAGGAGACUGAGGCAGGAGAAUUGCCUGCACCCAGAGGCAGAGGUUGCAGUGAGCCAAGAUUGAGCCAUUGCACUCCAGGCUGAGUAACAAGAGCGAAACUCCGUCUCAAAAAAAAAAAAAAAAAAGGAGGGCAAUUUUACCUUAUGUGAAUUUUACCUCAGUAAAAACGGGGGAACCCUCCACCAGGGACACAGCAGCCCACGCAGAGACAUGGCAGAGAGUCGGGGCUCUGGAUCUGGCCCUGCCGGGGUUGGGGGGGAGGAGGACACCCAAGCUGCUGGGGCUGCUGUGAGGGAGGAGCGCAGAGCACGGGGCCCAGGGCAAGGGAAACAUUUGCUGUGUUUGUCACCCUCCCCAGACCAUGCUUCUGCAGGGCAGCCCAGGCGGCUCAGGCUGGCUGUCCUGUCUGGGGAGGCGCCGGGCCGACCCAGGCCACACCUGGGGCCACAGCCUUCACAGUGGCCAGGAGCUGAGCCAGAGUGGGGAGUCAGGUAGGUGGGAUUGGCCCUUCGCCCGUGACUAGCUCAUGUCUCCUCCCUGGGCCUCACCCACCUCUGAGAAGGGGAUAGAGACCAGUCCUCUGGGAAGCUUCUAGUGCCAGAAUCUUUCUGCAUCUGGAGUCCGCAGGGAAGAGGAUCCAUCAAUCAAUCUGUUGAUCUACCCACAGGACCAAUGGAGGCAGGAUGCCAUAUUGGGUAAACAGUGGUGAGCAAGCUGACAGACGGGUUCAAAUCCCAGCUCCUCCACCUCCCAGCCCUCCACCCUCAGGCCCCAGCUGCCCUAGCCAGGCUUUCUGGGCCUCAGUUUACCCACCUGUAAAAUUCAGGUAAUAAUCACCAAUACCCCUUAGGGUAUUGUGAAGAGGGAACGAGUCUGUGGGAACAGCGCCUGGCUUGUGGCGUGGGCUCUGGAGGUGGGGACCGAUGUCCUGUCUAAUUCUCACUGUUGAGAAGGAGAACAAACUGCUGUCCAGCUAAGGGGAGAAAGGAGCCCUGCCCAGAACCAGCCAGAAUGAGGAGAGACUGCAUGGGCUCAUGCCACCAGCUCUGCCCCCUCCUAAGAACCUGUGCCGAGCUGUCCCCAGAGUGGACACUAGAGGAGAGGCCAGGAGAGGGGGACUUGGGAGAGGACCGAGGAAGUGCCCCCCACUCACUCGCACACUCACAAACUCACACACUCAGAGUCACACACACUCAUAGUUACACUCAGUCACACACAGACAGAAUCACAGUCACAUACACAGUCACAGUUACACACACAACCUCACAUAGACACAGAGUCACACACUCAUACAAAGAAUCACAGUCACAGAGUCACACACCCUCACAGUUACAUUCAGUUACACACUGAGUUACACAGUUAUACACACACACUCAGAGUAACACACUUAAACAGAGAAUCACACAGUCACACAGUUACACACUCCCUCACAGUUACACUCAGAGUUACACACACACAGUCACACCCUCACACAGAGACAGAGAAUCACACAUAGUCACAUACAGUCACAGUUACUCACACUCACACCCUCAAAUGGAGUCACACACAGUUACAUACACCUUCACAGUCACAGUUACACAGUCACACAGACGCAGAAUCACACACAGAGAGUCACAUACAGUUAUACACACAGUUACACAGUCACACACUUACUUGCACCCGCAGAGGAAGAUCGCUGAGUGGGGGGGGUGCGCUGGCCACGCGCGGGGGCAGCCACACUUUAUGAAUUUUGCAUCACCUUGGCCAUGAAUAGCUUCCUCUGCAGCGAAACAGACAGUUCAAAGGGAGGAAAAAGGCCCGAGUGGGGAGAAGGAGGGUGAGAUGCACCCCAAAUCCCUAACUCAGCUCAGGAGGACAGCAGGGUGAGGCAAGGACGCAGAGGGUGGGCAGGGUUUCCCACUCUCAUAGGGAUGCAUGUGUUUCCAGAGGCGGCAGGUGAGGCUGCGAGGGGUCUCCCGCAGGGCCCUGGCAACCCUGUUGUGCUUCCAAGAUGAGGCCAGAAGGACGCAGUGGGGACAAGAGGGUGUCCGGGAGCCUGGGCAGCACGUGGGCCACCUGCUCACGUGCUUCGAGGCCAUUUCUUAGAUGAGCAUACUGAGGCCUGGGAAGAUCACUGUCCCAUUAGGGACCGUGCACUGCAUCCUGGGCCAGGGGAGAAUGCAGAUGGGCCGGGGUAGGGAGGCCGCAGGGAGCCAGGCUCAGCAGGCAUGGGGAGGGGCGGGGCUCAGCAUGCAUGGCCAGGCUGAAGGUGUCAUGGGGACCUCUGCAGCCUCUGGCUGGGGAACCUGGCUUCCAACCCCAUCUCUACCCCUUCCUGCCUGGGCAGCCCUGGGCAAGACACGUCACAUCUCUGUUCCUGUUUCCCCAGUAACUAACUCAUAAUAAUGCAAGCACCCCGCUUACCAGGUGGUGGACAAGGUGCAGCCUCAGGGUCCCUGCUGCUCACCAGCUGUGGAAAUGUGCUUCCCAGCUCAGUUUUCCGAUCUGCAGAAUGGGCUGCUGCUGCUGUUCUCUGCCCCAACGAUGAGGCAUAAAGCAUUGAGAAUGAGCCCUGCACAGUGUGAGGGCCACGUGAGCUUUGUCAGCGCUGCCAGCUUCUUGGCCAGUGACGCCCAUAAACAGAGAGUCCCUGCUAGGCAACCCCCACCUGCCACCAAGGGGGCACCCCUAAAGAUUCGAGCCAUAUGCCUCGUCCUGCCAGGCUGCCAGCCCUGGCUGAGGCCCACACAAUGGGCGACCAGACCAGGGAGCUGAGUGAGGGAUUCCAGGUGGGUGUGUGGAUGGAUGCCGGGCAGUCAGUCAUGUUAGCCUGGCUGCCCUCUCUGGCCAGGCUGGGGUGAGUGGGUCUCUCCUCAAGGCCAUCUUGUGUAAACUAUGGGGAUGUCCCAGCUGCCCACUAGCUCUCCAGAGACCCAGUGCCGGCACACAGCCCCGAGGCCCCAGCGUCGUGGUGCCAGCGGCUGCACUGGGCACCUGCCGCAUGUGGGCUGUCUCCUAAGUGCUUCGUGUGCAUUUGCUCCAUUAAUCUCCAAAGCUAUCCCCUGGGGCAGGUGCUGUUAGCAUCUCCACUUUACAGAGAGAGAAACAGAGGCCCAGGGAGCUAAGGGAACAUGCACGGGACACGGGACCCCACCCACAUCACUCCGGCCUCUGUGGAACCCGGCAUUUCUGAUCCCGGCUCUUCUAUUCCCGUGCUGGGACAUCAGGGUGGGUCCUUUCCUCUCCCUGGCCUUGGUUUCCCUAGCGGUGAAGGGUCCCAGUGCACAGAAUCUAAUCCCUGGCCCCUCUACUUGCUGGCCAGAAGGUGAGUCCUUCACCCUCUCUGUGCUUCUGUUUCCUCCCCUGUAAAAUGGGAAUGGGAACAGCCCUUGCCUCCCAGGAGUGAGCUCCUAGGGCAGUGUGUGCGCUUAGUAAGUGUUCAGGAAGUGGCAGCCACGCUGUUACUAUUGCUGCUGCUACUGCUUUGAAGUGAGUACUCCCUGAGACCCCUGACCAGAGGAUGGGGGUGUCCAAACAUCCAGGGACCCAGAGAGGCCCAGGAGGUGGCCUGUGUCCAGGGCCUGAGGCAGCUGCAGGAACUCACAGCCUCUUGAAGUGGGCAGAGCUGCGACCCUCCCUCUUCUUCCCCACAGCCUCCCACCUGCCAGGCCUACCUCCACGGCAUCUCUGCUCUUCCCUCUGGCCACGUCAGAAGGGACCACAAGGAAGCAAAGAUUCAGAGAGUGAACUUUCCCACAGGGACCAUCCCUAAGGUGCCCACACUGGCAUCUUGCAGCGCCGCUCCCCUGCAGGGCCUGGAAUCCAGAGGGUUCCCAGCACAGCCAGGGUUCCCAGCACAGCAGCUAAGAGCCAGGACUCUUCAGAGUCCCAACUGCUAUGACCCAUUCCUGGCCUUGUCACCUACCUGCUCUGUGACCUUGGGCAGGUUGCUUUGCCUCUCUGUGUCCCAAUUUCCACAUCUCCAAGAUGGUAGGUGAUAGCAGCCCUAGAGGAGGUGGUUGUGAAGAUUCAGGGCCAUGACACAGACAAAGCAGUUAGCCUGGUACCCACUGGGCUUGAUGUCCCAGCUCCUGAGGCUGCCAGCUGGUGAAGACAGCAGGACUGCUGGCGUCGGACAUUCCCUGGGCCACAGCUUUACUGACUGUGUGAACUCAGGCAAUCCACUUCACCUUUCUGUGCCUCAGUUUCCUCAUCUGCAAAACAGGCCUAACAACACCUAUCUUGGGACAUGAUGAGGAUUCAAAGAGGAGAUUAGCCCAGGAGAGCGCCUGGUGAACAGUGCUGUUCCUGCAAUGGCUGCUGCUGCCAUUGUCACCCCCGCCAUCCAGGAGACAUCCACAGCAUCUGUGGCUUUCUCUGGGGCUGGCCUGGAAGACACUGGAGACUUCCCCUCCAGGUGACAAGGAGCAGCUGAAGGAUGCAUCUCCUUUGUUGCCUUCCCAGCAACACUGACAUGCGACAAACACGUCAAAAGGGAAAGGAAGGUCGUGAGCCCUGGGCAGCCAAGCCAGGGCAGAGCAGGCACCGGGGGACAAGUGGUUCCCGCAAGAUGGAGUCUCACUCUUGUCACCCAGGCUGGAGCACAGUGGCGCGAUCUCGGCUCACAGCAACCUCCGCCUUCUGGUUUCAGCAAUUCUCCUGCCUCAGCCUCCUAACCCCAUUUCGCAGGGAGAAGAUUGGGUUUUCAAGAGAGCAGAACUCAAGGCCUCAUCUCCAUCAGGGGCUGCAGCAGUGAAUUAAAAGUGCACACCCAGAGGAUGAGUAGCUGUGACCGCUUCUGCCAGCACUUUCGGCUGCAUCAUUAAUAAAGACAUAUUGUUGCAGAUGAAGCUCAGACCACAGCUCCUGAAACGCUUGGAAUCUCCAAAGUGAUAUCUUUUUGCAUGUGAAUGAUUCACAGAGGGCUGGCAGCCGCUGGGUAGCUUCAGGAUGGGACAGGUCAAUGGAAAGACCAAGGCAGGAUCCAUCCUGGGGAGAGGAGAGAGACGCGGUUAAGUUGCUCACCGGUGACACUGCAGUCAUUUCAUCAAUCAUAUCUCCAUAAUGAAGCCUCCAUAAAAACACAAACGGACAGGUUCUGGGAGCUGAAUACAUGAAGGUUCCUGGAGGGCAGUGCCCCCCAGGAGGGGCAGGGAAGCUCCCCACCGCUUCCCCAUCACUUACCCUGUGCAUCACUUCAGCUGUAACCUUUUUCGUAUCUCUUGCAAUAAACCAGCAAAUAUA
Callithrix jacchus (white-tufted-ear marmoset) is the source of this 16421-nucleotide non-coding RNA. The record is from RefSeq and is a predicted model, not a curated record. NCBI's taxonomy places the organism in Eukaryota, Metazoa, Chordata, Mammalia, Primates, Cebidae.